GAUGAACGCUGGCGGCGUGCCUAAUACAUGCAAGUCGAGCGAACAGACGAGGAGCUUGCUCCUCUGACGUUAGCGGCGGACGGGUGAGUAACACGUGGAUAACCUACCUAUAAGACUGGGAUAACUUCGGGAAACCGGAGCUAAUACCGGAUAAUAUAUUGAACCGCAUGGUUCAAUAGUGAAAGACGGUUUUGCUGUCACUUAUAGAUGGAUCCGCGCUGCAUUAGCUAGUUGGUAAGGUAACGGCUUACCAAGGCUACGAUGCGUAGCCGACCUGAGAGGGUGAUCGGCCACACUGGAACUGAGACACGGUCCAGACUCCUACGGGAGGCAGCAGUAGGGAAUCUUCCGCAAUGGGCGAAAGCCUGACGGAGCAACGCCGCGUGAGUGAUGAAGGUCUUCGGAUCGUAAAACUCUGUUAUUAGGGAAGAACAAAUGUGUAAGUAACUAUGCACGUCUUGACGGUACCUAAUCAGAAAGCCACGGCUAACUACGUG
Molecule: ribosomal RNA, 497 nt
Filed under: uncultured bacterium
Lineage: Bacteria
Description: partial 16S ribosomal RNA
Rfam family: Bacterial small subunit ribosomal RNA
Source: RNAcentral